Molecule: ribosomal RNA, 254 nt
Filed under: uncultured bacterium
Lineage: Bacteria
Description: partial 16S ribosomal RNA
Rfam family: Bacterial small subunit ribosomal RNA
Source: RNAcentral
UACGUAGGCAGCGAGCGUUGUUCGGAGUUACUGGGCGUAAAGCGUGCGUAGGCGGUGUCUUAAGUUUGUUGUGAAAUCUCCCGGCUUAACCGGGAGGGUGCGGCGAAUACUGAGAUGCUGGAGUGCCGGAGAGGUAAGCGGAACUUCCUGGUGUAGCGGUGAAAUGCGCAGAUAUCAGGAGGAACACCGGUGGCGAAGGCGGGUCUCUGGGCAGUAACUGACGUGGAGGAGCGAAAGCGUGGGGAGCGAACAGG